RNAcentral lists this ribosomal RNA (190 nucleotides) under uncultured bacterium. RNAcentral's name for it is "partial 16S ribosomal RNA". It matches the Rfam family "Bacterial small subunit ribosomal RNA", at positions 1312 to 1500 of the family's 1533-position model. The record is from RNAcentral.
UCGCCUGCAUGAAGUUGGAAUUGCUAGUAAUCGCGAAUCAGAAUGUCGCGGUGAAUACGUUCCCGGGCCUUAUACACACCGCCCGUCACACCAUGAGAGUCGAUAACACCCGAAGCCUGUGAGCUAACCGCAAGGAGGCAGCAGUCGAAGGUGGGGGUUGAUGAUUGGGGUGAAGUCGUAACAAGGUACC